AUGGCCGGCGACGAGCUGCGGGAGGAGCGAGGCGAAGUGGUGGUUGGUGGCGGCGAUGUUAUCGCCAAGCUGGACGCGGAAUCGGUGAAGAGGAGGAGCCGGAGGGUGGUCUCCAAGGACAACAUCGCCGCGGCCAAGUUCGUCGCUGACCGCGCUGCGACUGAGGCCGCGCGGUGCAAGGCCGAGGUCGAGGAGAAGGAGGCCAUCUUUCUCUGGAGCGGCCGUCGGUCCGGCGAGCACAGGCUCGUCGGUCGCCCGACCUUUGCACUGCCAGUCGCCGACGUCGCGGACCACGCCAAUGUCACCCAGAUUCCCCCCGCCAAGGCACGACGGGCAGACCCGUUUCUCGGGGUCGCCGGACCUGAACGUGAUCGCGCCGUCCACCCCAUGCCCAGUGGUCGUCAUCGACCUCAACGUCACCCUGGGUCCAGCAGCGGCGGCCGGCCGUCCGUCGAGAUGCAAAGAAAGCAAGCACAGCCGUCGUUUAUGGGCACCAUGCCGUCCCCCCGCGUCUUGUUCGAUGGAAUGCCAACACCAACGGCACCGGUCGACGACCCCUACUACGACCAGUUCAUGGAGGAAGUGAUCUACGAGGGUGGGCAUGUCCCUAUCUACGACCCCGACGAGACCCAAAAUCAGGAUGGUCACGGCCAGUUCACUGCCGAUGAAGAGGCCGACGAACGUGCCGACUACGACCAUGGUGACUCGUGGCAUGAGGACGAUGACAUCUAUGUUGAAGGUGAUGGUGAUGAAGAAGAAGGCAAUGCCAUGGAUAUUAGUGGCGAGCCAUUGUUCGUCGACGAACUCACCCAAAGAGCGGAAGCACAAAAGAGGAGGAAGAGCAUUCACACGGGUGCGCAACAAAAGGGCCUAGUUUUUUGGACGAGAGUCCACAAAACUUUCCAUGGAAGGAAGAUGUUUGAGCCCUACCAAAUCACAAGCAACCGUGGCAUCACCUCGAUUCAAAAGAGGUGGUUGUUCAUCCAACAAGAGUGCAACAAAUAUUGUGCCGCAUUUGAGAGCGUUGAAGCACGGCCCGUGACUGGUCUCGGCGUUGGGGACAUGGCAUUUCAAUCUUUGGAAGCAUUCAAGGCCCGGCACAAUGACAAGCCAUUCACUCUUACGCAUUGUGGGACGAUCAUCAACAAUUGUCCUAAGUUCAAGGAUCAAUACCGUGAGCUACAAAGAAAGAGAGGCAAGAAGACGGCCAAGUUCGCCGGAGGUGGAGAUGGCGAGGCGUUGAAGAGGCUGAGGGGCAAGAUCAACUCGAAGGAUGUGAGGGAUGAGAAGAAGCGGCAAAGCAAGGACGAGCAAAUGAAGCAAUACCUAGAGCUUCAAAGAAAGAAGCUUGAGAUGGAGGAGGCGGCCAAGAGAUGGAAGAUCGACAUGGAGGAGGCGGCGCGGCAAAGGCAGCUCAACAUCGAGGCCGAGAACGUCAAGGCCAGGCGAACAGGAUGGGGUAAAAAGGAUGCGGCCGCGCGCUGGGCGUACGGCCACCGCAUCCCAGGACAGAUUCUCAUGAGAGCGCUCACCUCACUCGCUAGCUGCUUCACUCUCCACUUCCUUCCCCUCCGCGCGAGAUCCAGCGUCCGCCUCAGCCUCCGCGACGCCGUCCACCUCCUUCUCCGUCGAGGUCUCCGCCGGCGGCCGGUCAGCGCCCCUCCUUUGGCUCGAUACGGCAGCGAUAUGAGCGGUCGGUUCUCAAGUCCAAGUCAAGAGUGCCCGUCCUCCAGAUCUGCUGCUGUACUAUGUAGUAGAUAG
Molecule: ribosomal RNA, 1761 nt
Filed under: Triticum aestivum (bread wheat)
Lineage: Eukaryota; Viridiplantae; Streptophyta; Magnoliopsida; Poales; Poaceae
Description: partial small subunit ribosomal RNA
Source: RNAcentral